AAACCCUUUGUCAAGAACAGCUGGUAAGCACUCCAUUUUGUGGAGUUACUCAUUUAGGACCACCUACACAUGGAUACUUAUCAGGAGUUCUCUUGCCUCUUUAGUGUUCUCAUUGUACUAAGUCAUGAAGGUUUACAAACCUAGAGGAUACUGUAUUUUAAAUUAUUUCCAUUCCAAAGCCAAAUUAAUUCUCAAUGUCCAUGUCCUGAAAAAUAUUCACUUUUACAAAAAUACAAAACUUGUGUAAAUUCCUAAAAUGCAUCAUUACGUUGUCUUGUAUUUUUCUUACAUGUAUUACUUUUAUAUUGCAACAUCUUACAAUUGACUCUUCAGCUGCCUUCUAAUUUGUCAAAGGCCAAUGAGAGCAAGAGCCCUCAUUCAAAAUCUCACGGAUUAGUGAAUCGUGCUAAAAUCCCAGAACCUAAGAUGAGCUUCUUAUGUGGUUCUUGGGAAUAUGACCCCAGCAGCCACAUCUGCUGUGAUGGUAAUCUCUCAGAACUGAAAGACAAAAAACAGUGCUGCGGAGGGAUAACUUACCGUGUAGCAGAGCGAGGGAAACUGUGCUGCAAUGGAACUCUGCAUCACAAUGUCCCAGAAGGCAGUCGGUGUGCAGGAAAGGAUUUCUACAACCCCAAUAAGGAGACAGUUUGCGAGAACAUCAUACACCCAAAGGCACAUGGAUACUGCUGUGGACGUCAUCUUUUAGACCCCAGCACAGAACUUUGCUGCAAUGGAUACAGGUACACGAGAUCACCUGGGAAAGUUUGCUGUGGCGCCGAAGCAUACAAUUCCUCAGACCCGAUGCAAAAGUGCUGCUCUGGUCACCUGCACAAGCUGAGCAGUGUGGCAGGGGCGGCCGAGUGCUGUGGGACACAAGCGAUAACGGAUACGUCCAAGCAGCAGUGCUGCAUCUCCUCACAGUGGGAGCUGGUCUACAGUUCCCGCCCCGAGUUUUCCUGCUGCGGACACCAGUACUACAACACCUCUGAAUUCUUCUGCUGUGCAGGGAUCCUGCACACUGGAACCGGACAGAACCUAAAAUCCUGCCCUUUGCAAGCAGCGCACAUCAAGGAAUGCAGCCAUCUGAACUUGACGUAUCUCUGCUUACAGCCCCAGAAUGCCACAGUUAAGCUGGGUACACUAGAGGCAACAUGGCAGGAGGAUAGCUGCCGGCACAUCGUGCUGACAAACGUUUUCACCAUCUACCUGAGAGAGGGACGUGCAGAACUAAAGGCUAGUCCUCUCUCAUUCGCUAUGGAUCAUUGCAGCUGCCCAGAGCUGGACGCUGGCAGGCAGUACCUGUGGAUUGACAGGUCAGGGGAUGCUGGUGGGGACAAAGUCCUGAUCUACCCUACUCAGGAGCACCACACUUCCUUGCUCCCUGUUGUCCUGUCCGCAUGCAAAAAAUCCUGAGGUUACGUGGACAUCUCAGCCUAGUAGCAUUAGAGCCUGACAUUUUUUCUCCACUUGUUCUCAUGCAACCAUUUCAAUAAUCUGUGCUCAAGGGAAAGCUUCACCUGUAUAUUAAAUCAUGUUAUUUAAUCAUAGAAGUCAUCUCAGACAAUUUCAGAUGGCAAAUGAAAACACUGAUGACCAGUGAUAAGACUUGAACACUAUCACAUGUUUCAAAUGUGCCUACAUAAAUACGUAGUUUGCGUUUAAGAGGUGCUGGAAAUGUAAAGGAAUUACGGACAAAAAUUAAAAUACAUAAAAUAAGCAGAAAUGGAGCUGCAAAAAAAAAGAACUAAAAUUAAUGUUUUUCAAAUUAGUUACUGUAAUUAAUCUGUCCUUCCAAUCCUUUAUUGAUUUUGAUUAAAACAUUACUCAUACAAGGAUAGAAGACCUGAUAUAAGCUUGAAAUUAUAGAAAGUAGCUGCUCUACUUUUCCAGCAAUAAUAGCUGUGCUAAUCUGUGCCUUGCUAAAUAGUCUCACUGUUUUCCCGUCUGCCUUGUUUUCACCGACCAAAAAAAAUUAUAGAUUAGGACAAAAUAUAAUAAUUGGCUCAGUAGCCUAUCCAAUACCACAGUGGCAUUUUAUGAAGUUGUCAGUGUUGAUCUUGAGGAAAGCUGCUGAGGCAGACAACGUAAUGAGCACAAAGUGGAGGAAAUAUCCAGGCCCUUCUACUGGGGUAGUGGAAAACAUUUUAACUUUAAUGUAUGCCGACAAUGUGAGGUUAAGGCGAGUUACUGCUAUAAUCUUACUUCAGCAAAGUUCAUAAACUAUAAAAAUAGCAUGUGUGUGUAUAUACAGUAUAUGCACGCUAACAAGACAGAUUUGCUAGAUCAGUUCCAUAAGCUUGAGUAAUUCAUUAUAUUGUGUAAAAGUUAUCUAAGCAUUGACGCUUCUGUUUUUCAGAAUUUAUUUGUCAUAUCUGCCUUAUUAAAGUUCUCCCUUGAGAUGGAAUUGUUCAGUAAAACUGGUGCUUUUGUAGGGCUAGCACUAGCUACAGAAUUAUUUUACUGUGAGUGUAUUUUUUGUGAAAAGAUACUAGUUUUGGAAGUUUUUUACAUUUUGCAUAAAUGUGGUCUGAACUCAGCAAUUUGAAUACUAUGUAAAGGCUCUGGUGACAUUUUCAAUGUGUUGUUGUGGAUGUUUCCAGUUCUUGAAUAGGUGCUAAAUCCAUCAGGUUUCACUUUUGGUGCCUUUCAAUCCCUAAUACUUGAUGUAACUUACAUGAAAAUUUAAUUUCCUAAAUUAUUAAUUAUUGAUGGCAUUUUAAUUCUAUUUAAAUUAUAUUCUAUAUAUUAUAAUUAUAUAUUACUUUGGAAACAUGAAAUUUGCCAGUUACCAAGACUAACAGAAUGUGAAAAACUCACCAGUAAUAUUUAUCCAUGUUUGUGGUGUGUUAGCGGGUGUAUUUGGUGUCAGUGACUAAUGUUGAAAUGAAAUGUUAGUACAAAGGUCUCAUGCGAUGUUGGUUGUCAGUACCGCAGAAACGGAAUGAGCUGAAACAUGUACUGUUUUUAUACAUGAUAAACACUUAAACCCUGGUUGCGUAUUGACUUUGAAAGCAAAGGACACCAGUGUGACAAAAACCAGUAUAUGUGACAAACACUGCUGACAGUCAUUUUUACAUAUGUUAAGCAUGAGUCGAUGGAUCAUGUAUGUAUAGAUAAAAUGUACUUACCUUUAUACUCAAUAAAAGCAGAAAUUCCU
Scleropages formosus (Asian bonytongue) is the source of this 3157-nucleotide long non-coding RNA. NCBI's taxonomy places the organism in Eukaryota, Metazoa, Chordata, Actinopteri, Osteoglossiformes, Osteoglossidae. The record is from Ensembl.